RNAcentral lists this ribosomal RNA (497 nucleotides) under uncultured bacterium. RNAcentral describes it as "partial 16S ribosomal RNA". It matches the Rfam family "Bacterial small subunit ribosomal RNA", at positions 28 to 507 of the family's 1533-position model. The record is from RNAcentral.
GAUGAACGCUGGCGGCGUGCCUAAUACAUGCAAGUCGAGCGAACAGACGAGGAGCUUGCUCCUCUGACGUUAGCGGCGGACGGGUGAGUAACAGGUGGAUAACCUACCUAUAAGACUGGGAUAACUUUGGGAAACCGGAGCUAAUACCGGAUAAUAUAUUGAACCGCAUGGUUCAAUAGUGAAAGACGGUUUUGCUGUCACUUAUAGAUGUAUCCGCGCCGCAUUAGCUAGUUGGUAAGGUAACGGCUUACCAAGGCGACGAUGCGUAGCCGACCUGAGAGGGUGAUCGGCCACACUGGAACUGAGACACGGUCCAGACUCCGACGGGCGGCAGCAGUAGGGAAUCUUCCGCAAUGGGCGAAAGCCUGACGGAGCAACGCCGCGUGAGUGAUGAAGGUCUUCGGAUCGUAAAACUCUGUUAUUAGGGAAGAACAAAUGUGUAAGUAACUAUGCACGUCUUGACGGUACCUAAUCAGAAAGCCCCGGCUAACUACGUG